CCACGUCCGGUCAGAAUAUGGACGUUGAAUUCGAUACGUCAUGUAGAAAGAACGUCAUGCUUCCUGCAAGUUAAGAGCACUUACAACAACUCUUGAUUGCGUACGUCUGUUGAAAAGCCAAAUUUCUGUCCCUAACAAAUAUAUCUGCAUUUUCCAUUGAAAUUUCUAAUACUCCGCCCAUCAUCAUGGUCCACCUUCUAGUGCAAGACCUACUCUAAUUUAGUUCUUGUCCUACAUAUGCAUGAAAUAUUUGCCACUGGAUGUAAAGAAGACAACAACAAUCAAUCAAGCAAUCAAUCAGAAUCGAAUUAUGUUGAGUGUGUUACCUGGCUUUAGUAUUCCUCCUACAUAACUCAGUAAACAAUCAGAUGUAUUCUUUAUAAUUCGCCGUUUCAGAAUCUAAUGCAUCCUGGGUAAUAUUUUCAAAAGUG
RNAcentral lists this long non-coding RNA (431 nucleotides) under Mytilus galloprovincialis (Mediterranean mussel). Lineage: Eukaryota; Metazoa; Mollusca; Bivalvia; Mytilida; Mytilidae. The record is from RNAcentral.